UACGGAGGGGGCUAGCGUUGUUCGGAAUUACUGGGCGUAAAGCGCACGUAGGCGGACCAGCAAGUUGGAGGUGAAAUCCCAGGGCUCAACCUUGGAACUGCCUUCAAAACUGUUGAUCUAGAGUUCGAGAGAGGUGAGUGGAAUUCCGAGUGUAGAGGUGAAAUUCGUAGAUAUUCGGAGGAACACCAGUGGCGAAGGCGGCUCACUGGCUCGAUACUGACGCUGAGGUGCGAAAGCGUGGGGAGCAAACAGG
Molecule: ribosomal RNA, 253 nt
Filed under: uncultured bacterium
Lineage: Bacteria
Description: partial 16S ribosomal RNA
Rfam family: Bacterial small subunit ribosomal RNA
Source: RNAcentral